CACCUCCGCGACGCGCCCGAUGGUUUCCGGAACAAGGGGGACUGUCCUGUAGUACAGCGUCGCGCUGGUGGUGGACGGGUGAGAAUAGAAAAUGACGGUGAUCAGGGCGACCGUCAGCACCACGCACGCGGUGAUGCCCCAUCGCAGCUCAUACCAGACAGAGAACAGCGUGAUCUCUUUGCCAAGCCGCUUUCCUUGCGCAUAGCGGCGAUAGAGAUAAUCGGGAAAGACUGUCAGAAGCGAACAGAGGAUCAGCUCAAGCUGCUCCUCGCUCUUGCCGGCGGCUUUCGUCGCGCCGGAAGUGUCCGCAGGAGUUGUGUGAGUCGUCGUUUCCAUCGGCGGUUCGGAUGGAUCGGGGUCUG
RNAcentral lists this unclassified non-coding RNA (362 nucleotides) under Hevea brasiliensis (rubber tree). Lineage: Eukaryota; Viridiplantae; Streptophyta; Magnoliopsida; Malpighiales; Euphorbiaceae. The record is from RNAcentral.